RNAcentral lists this ribosomal RNA (440 nucleotides) under uncultured bacterium. RNAcentral describes it as "partial 16S ribosomal RNA". It matches the Rfam family "Bacterial small subunit ribosomal RNA", at positions 338 to 795 of the family's 1533-position model. The record is from RNAcentral.
CCUACGGGAGGCAGCAGUGGGGAAUAUUGCACAAUGGGGGAAACCCUGAUGCAGCGACGCCGCGUGGGGGAAGAAGGUCUUCGGCUUGUAAAGUCCUUUUAUCAGGGAAGAAAAUGACGGUAUCUGAAGAAGAAGCACCGGCUAACUACGUGCCAGCAGCCGCGGUAAUACGUAGGGGGCAAGCGUUACUCGGAUUGACUGGGUGUAAAGGGGGCGCAGACGGGGAUGCAAGCCAGAUGUGAAAGCCCGGGGCUGAACCCCGGGACUGCAGUUGGAACUGGGUGGCUAGAGUGGAGGAGAGGUAGGCGGAAUUCGUGGUGUAGCGGUGAAAUGCGUAGAGAUCAGGAGGAACACCGAUGGCGAAGGCGGCCUGCUGGAAUGCAACUGACGUUGAGGCGCGAAAGCGUGGGGAGCAAACAGGAUUAGAUACCCUUGUAGUC